This 241-nucleotide unclassified non-coding RNA is filed under the name plant metagenome. RNAcentral describes it as "partial contains small subunit ribosomal RNA, internal transcribed spacer 1, and 5.8S ribosomal RNA". The record is from RNAcentral.
UUUCCGUAGGUGAACCUGCGGAAGGAUCAUUAAAGAGUAAGGGUCUUCGGGCCUGAUCUCCAACCCUUUGUUUAACUACCAUGUUGCUUUGGCGGGCCCGUCUCACGACCGCCGGAAGUUUGGCUUCGACCAAACUUCUGGCCCGUGCCCGUCAGUGGCCCCUUCAAAUUCUUGAUCAAGUAUGAUGUCUUAGUUAAAAACUUAAUAGUUAAAACUUUCAACAACGGAUCUCUUGGUUCUG